This 26-nucleotide unclassified non-coding RNA is filed under the name Chlamydomonas reinhardtii. RNAcentral's name for it is "small RNA Cre_0111". Lineage: Eukaryota; Viridiplantae; Chlorophyta; Chlorophyceae; Chlamydomonadales; Chlamydomonadaceae. The record is from RNAcentral.
AAGCCCCUCGGUGCUCAUCAGGUAUA